UGGUUUAAUUCGAUGAUACUCGAAGUACCUUACCUGGGCUUGUACUGUACUUUGAUCGGCGUAGAGAUACACCCUCCUUCGGGCAGGUGCAGAGGUUCUGCAUGGUUUUCGUCAGCUCGUGUCGUGUAGAUGUUGGGUUAAGUCCCGCAACGAGCGCAACCCUUACCCCUUGUUGCCAUCAGGUAAUGCUGAGCACUCUAGGGGAACUGUCGGUGAUAAACCGGAGUAAGGUGGGGAUGACGUCAAAUCAUCACGGCCCUUAUGUCCAGGGCUACACACGUGCUACAAUGGCCGGUACAAUGAGUUGCGAGACCGCGAGGUGGAGCUAAUCUCAAAUAACCGGUCUCAGUUCGGAUUGCAGUCUGCAACUCGACUGCAUGAAGCUGGAAUCGCUAGUAAUCGCGGAUCAGCACGCCGCGGUGAAUACGUUCCCGGGCAUUGUACACACCGCCCGUCACACCACCCGAGUUGCUAGCACCCGAAGUGGCUGAUCUAACUUCGUGAGGAAGG
RNAcentral lists this ribosomal RNA (510 nucleotides) under uncultured organism. RNAcentral describes it as "bacterial SSU rRNA". It matches the Rfam family "Bacterial small subunit ribosomal RNA", at positions 942 to 1453 of the family's 1533-position model. The record is from RNAcentral.